AGUGAACGCUGGCGGUAGGCCUAACACAUGCAAGUCGAACGGCAGCACAGUAAGGGCUUGCUCUUACGGGUGGCGAGUGGCGGACGGGUGAGGAAUACAUCGGAAUCUACUUUUUCGUGGGGGAUAACGUAGGGAAACUUACGCUAAUACCGCAUACGACCUACGGGUGAAAGCAGGGGAUCUUCGGACCUUGCGCGAUUGAAUGAGCCGAUGUCGGAUUAGCUAGUUGGCGGGGUAAAGGCCCACCAAGGCGACGAUCCGUAGCUGGUCUGAGAGGAUAAUAAGCCACACUGGAACUGAGACACGGUCCAGACUCCUACGGGAGGCAGCAGUGGGGAAUAUUGGACAAUGGGCGCAAGCCUGAUCCAGCCAUACCGCGUGGGUGAAGAAGGCCUUCGGGUUGUAAAGCCCUUUUGUUGGGAAAGAAAAGCAGCAGGUUAAUACCCCGCUGUUCUGACGGUACCCAAAGAAUAAGCACCGGCUAACUUCGUG
RNAcentral lists this ribosomal RNA (492 nucleotides) under uncultured bacterium. RNAcentral's name for it is "partial 16S ribosomal RNA". It matches the Rfam family "Bacterial small subunit ribosomal RNA", at positions 29 to 507 of the family's 1533-position model. The record is from RNAcentral.